This 2928-nucleotide ribosomal RNA is filed under the name Bacillus cereus. Its description in RNAcentral is "23S ribosomal RNA". It matches the Rfam family "Bacterial large subunit ribosomal RNA". The record is from RNAcentral. RNAcentral also lists the same sequence under 1 other name. Lineage: Bacteria; Bacillati; Bacillota; Bacilli; Caryophanales; Bacillaceae.
UUUGGUUAAGUUAGAAAGGGCGCACGGUGGAUGCCUUGACACUAGGAGUCGAUGAAGGACGGGACUAACGCCGAUAUGCUUCGGGGAGCUGUAAGUAAGCUUUGAUCCGAAGAUUUCCGAAUGGGGAAACCCACCAUACGUAAUGGUAUGGUAUCCUUAUCUGAAUACAUAGGGUAAGGAAGACAGACCCAGGGAACUGAAACAUCUAAGUACCUGGAGGAAGAGAAAGCAAAUGCGAUUUCCUGAGUAGCGGCGAGCGAAACGGAACAUAGCCCAAACCAAGAGGCUUGCCUCUUGGGGUUGUAGGACAUUCUAUACGGAGUUACAAAGGAACGAGGUAGACGAAGCGACCUGGAAAGGUCCGUCGUAGAGGGUAACAACCCCGUAGUCGAAACUUCGUUCUCUCUUGAAUGUAUCCUGAGUACGGCGGAACACGUGAAAUUCCGUCGGAAUCUGGGAGGACCAUCUCCCAAGGCUAAAUACUCCCUAGUGAUCGAUAGUGAACCAGUACCGUGAGGGAAAGGUGAAAAGCACCCCGGAAGGGGAGUGAAAGAGAUCCUGAAACCGUGUGCCUACAAAUAGUCAGAGCCCGUUAACGGGUGAUGGCGUGCCUUUUGUAGAAUGAACCGGCGAGUUACGAUCCCGUGCGAGGUUAAGCUGAAGAGGCGGAGCCGCAGCGAAAGCGAGUCUGAAUAGGGCGUUUAGUACGUGGUCGUAGACCCGAAACCAGGUGAUCUACCCAUGUCCAGGGUGAAGUUCAGGUAACACUGAAUGGAGGCCCGAACCCACGCACGUUGAAAAGUGCGGGGAUGAGGUGUGGGUAGCGGAGAAAUUCCAAUCGAACCUGGAGAUAGCUGGUUCUCCCCGAAAUAGCUUUAGGGCUAGCCUUAAGUGUAAGAGUCUUGGAGGUAGAGCACUGAUUGGACUAGGGGUCCUCAUCGGAUUACCGAAUUCAGUCAAACUCCGAAUGCCAAUGACUUAUCCUUAGGAGUCAGACUGCGAGUGAUAAGAUCCGUAGUCAAAAGGGAAACAGCCCAGACCGCCAGCUAAGGUCCCAAAGUGUGUAUUAAGUGGAAAAGGAUGUGGAGUUGCUUAGACAACUAGGAUGUUGGCUUAGAAGCAGCCACCAUUUAAAGAGUGCGUAAUAGCUCACUAGUCGAGUGACUCUGCGCCGAAAAUGUACCGGGGCUAAAUACACCACCGAAGCUGCGGAUUGAUACCAAUGGUAUCAGUGGUAGGGGAGCGUUCUAAGGACAGUGAAGUCAGACCGGAAGGACUGGUGGAGUGCUUAGAAGUGAGAAUGCCGGUAUGAGUAGCGAAAGACGGGUGAGAAUCCCGUCCACCGAAUGCCUAAGGUUUCCUGAGGAAGGCUCGUCCGCUCAGGGUUAGUCAGGACCUAAGCCGAGGCCGACAGGCGUAGGCGAUGGACAACAGGUUGAUAUUCCUGUACCACCUCUUUAUCGUUUGAGCAAUGGAGGGACGCAGAAGGAUAGAAGAAGCGUGCGAUUGGUUGUGCACGUCCAAGCAGUUAGGCUGAUAAGUAGGCAAAUCCGCUUAUCGUAAAGGCUGAGCUGUGAUGGGGAAGCUCCUUAUGGAGCGAAGUCUUUGAUUCCCCGCUGCCAAGAAAAGCUUCUAGCGAGAUAAAAGGUGCCUGUACCGCAAACCGACACAGGUAGGCGAGGAGAGAAUCCUAAGGUGUGCGAGAGAACUCUGGUUAAGGAACUCGGCAAAAUGACCCCGUAACUUCGGGAGAAGGGGUGCUUUCUUAACGGAAAGCCGCAGUGAAUAGGCCCAAGCGACUGUUUAGCAAAAACACAGCUCUCUGCGAAGCCGUAAGGCGAAGUAUAGGGGGUGACACCUGCCCGGUGCUGGAAGGUUAAGGAGAGGGGUUAGCGUAAGCGAAGCUCUGAACUGAAGCCCCAGUAAACGGCGGCCGUAACUAUAACGGUCCUAAGGUAGCGAAAUUCCUUGUCGGGUAAGUUCCGACCCGCACGAAAGGUGUAACGAUUUGGGCACUGUCUCAACCAGAGACUCGGUGAAAUUAUAGUACCUGUGAAGAUGCAGGUUACCCGCGACAGGACGGAAAGACCCCGUGGAGCUUUACUGUAGCCUGAUAUUGAAUUUUGGUACAGUUUGUACAGGAUAGGCGGGAGCCAUUGAAACCGGAGCGCUAGCUUCGGUGGAGGCGCUGGUGGGAUACCGCCCUGACUGUAUUGAAAUUCUAACCUACGGGUCUUAUCGACCCGGGAGACAGUGUCAGGUGGGCAGUUUGACUGGGGCGGUCGCCUCCUAAAGUGUAACGGAGGCGCCCAAAGGUUCCCUCAGAAUGGUUGGAAAUCAUUCGUAGAGUGCAAAGGCAUAAGGGAGCUUGACUGCGAGACCUACAAGUCGAGCAGGGACGAAAGUCGGGCUUAGUGAUCCGGUGGUUCCGCAUGGAAGGGCCAUCGCUCAACGGAUAAAAGCUACCCCGGGGAUAACAGGCUUAUCUCCCCCAAGAGUCCACAUCGACGGGGAGGUUUGGCACCUCGAUGUCGGCUCAUCGCAUCCUGGGGCUGUAGUCGGUCCCAAGGGUUGGGCUGUUCGCCCAUUAAAGCGGUACGCGAGCUGGGUUCAGAACGUCGUGAGACAGUUCGGUCCCUAUCCGUCGUGGGCGUAGGAAAUUUGAGAGGAGCUGUCCUUAGUACGAGAGGACCGGGAUGGACGCACCGCUGGUGUACCAGUUGUUCUGCCAAGGGCAUAGCUGGGUAGCUAUGUGCGGAAGGGAUAAGUGCUGAAAGCAUCUAAGCAUGAAGCCCCCUCAAGAUGAGAUUUCCCAUAGCGUAAGCUAGUAAGAUCCCUGAAAGAUGAUCAGGUUGAUAGGUUCGAGGUGGAAGCAUGGUGACAUGUGGAGCUGACGAAUACUAAUAGAUCGAGGACUUAACCAUAUAA